CCUACGGGUGGCAGCAGUGAGGAAUAUUGGUCAAUGGACGAGAGUCUGAACCAGCCAAGUAGCGUGAAGGAUGACUGCUCUAUGGGUUGUAAACUUCUUUUAUAAAGGAAUAAAAGGAGGCACGUGUGCCUUUUUGCAUGUACUUUAUGAAUAAGGAUCGGCUAACUCCGUGCCAGCAGCCGCGGUAAUACGGAGGAUCCGAGCGUUAUCCGGAUUUAUUGGGUUUAAAGGGAGCGUAGAUGGUUUGUUAAGUCAGUGGUGAAAGUGUGCGGCUCAACUGUAAAAUUGCAAUUGAUACUGGCAGUCUUGAGUACAGUUGAGGUAGGCGGAAUUCGUGGUGUAGCGGUGAAAUGCUUAGAUAUCACGAAGAACCCCGAUUGCGAAGGCAGCUUACUAAGCUAUGACUGACAUUGAUGCUCGAAAGUGUGGGGAUCAAACAGGAUUAGAUACCCUAGUAGUC
Molecule: ribosomal RNA, 460 nt
Filed under: uncultured bacterium
Lineage: Bacteria
Description: partial 16S ribosomal RNA
Rfam family: Bacterial small subunit ribosomal RNA
Source: RNAcentral